UACGUAGGGUGCAAGCGUUGUCCGGAAUUAUUGGGCGUAAAGAGCUCGUAGGCGGUUUGUCGCGUCGAAUGUGAAGACCCGGGGCUCAACCCCGGGCCUGCAUUCGAUACGGGCAGACUAGAGUUCGGUAGGGGAGUCUGGAAUUCCUGGUGUAGCGGUGAAAUGCGCAGAUAUCAGGAGGAACACCGGUGCGAAGGCGGUUCUCUGGGCCUUACCUGACGCUGAGGAGCGAAAGCGUGGGGAGCAAACAGG
RNAcentral lists this ribosomal RNA (252 nucleotides) under uncultured bacterium. Its description in RNAcentral is "partial 16S ribosomal RNA". It matches the Rfam family "Bacterial small subunit ribosomal RNA", at positions 524 to 776 of the family's 1533-position model. The record is from RNAcentral.